Molecule: unclassified non-coding RNA, 221 nt
Filed under: soil metagenome
Description: partial contains 5.8S ribosomal RNA, internal transcribed spacer 2, and large subunit ribosomal RNA
Source: RNAcentral
AACUGAUACUACCUGCGGGAACCUGCGGAGGGAUCAUUACCGAGUUAUCGCUCAAAACCCACUGUGAACCUACCGUAUUCGUUGCUUCGGCGGGCGGCCCCUGGGGGGGGCCCCGGGCCCUCGCGGUGCCCGCCGGCAGCACCUAGCUCUGUGUACUGUCUAGCUUACCGUCUGAUUGUGCUACAAGCGAAAACUAUAAAAACUUUCAGCAAUGGAUCUCU